Molecule: ribosomal RNA, 473 nt
Filed under: uncultured bacterium
Lineage: Bacteria
Description: bacterial SSU rRNA
Rfam family: Bacterial small subunit ribosomal RNA
Source: RNAcentral
CUCUGUGACUCCUACGGGAGGCAGCAGUGGGGAAUAUUGCACAAUGGGGGAAACCCUGAUGCAGCCAUGUCGCGUGUGUGAAGAAGGCCUUCGGGUUGUAAAGCACUUUCAGUAGGGAGGAAGGUAGUGUAGUUAACACCUGCACUAUUUGACGUUACCUACAGAAGAAGCACCGGCUAACUCCGUGCCAGCAGCCGCGGUAAUACGGAGGGUGCGAGCGUUAAUCGGAAUUACUGGGCGUAAAGCGCAUGCAGGCGGCCUGUUAAGUCAGAUGUGAAAGCCCCGGGGCUUAACCUCGGAAUUGCAUUUGAAACUGGCAGGCUAGAGUCUUGUAGAGGGGGUAGAAUUUCAGGUGUAGCGGUGAAAUGCGUAGAGAUCUGAAGGAAUACCAGUGGCGAAGGCGGCCCCCUGGACAAAGACUGACGCUCAGAUGCGAAAGCGUGGGGAGCAAACAGGAUUAGAUACCCUGGUAA